UGGGGAAUCUUGCACAAUGGGGGCAACCCUGAUGCAGCGACGCCGCGUGAGCGAUGAAGCCCUUCGGGGCGUAAAGCUCUUUCGACCGGAACGAUAAUGACGGUACCGGGUGAAGAAGCUGCGGCUAACUACGUGCCAGCAGCCGCGGUAAUACGUAGGCAGCAAGCGUUGUUCGGAGUUACUGGGCGUAAAGAGUGCGUAGGCGGUUUUCUAAGUUCGGUGUCAAAUCUCCCGGCUUAACUGGGAGGGUGCGCCGAAGACUGGGAGGCUGGAGUGUGGGAAAGGCAGGCGUAAUUCCUGGUGUAGCGGUGAAAUGCGUAGAUAUCAGGAAGAACACCGGCGGUGUAGACGGCUUGCUAGACCAUAACGGACGCUGAGGCACGAA
RNAcentral lists this ribosomal RNA (385 nucleotides) under uncultured bacterium. RNAcentral's name for it is "bacterial SSU rRNA". It matches the Rfam family "Bacterial small subunit ribosomal RNA", at positions 355 to 757 of the family's 1533-position model. The record is from RNAcentral.